CUACGGGUCGCUGCAGCUAGGAAACUUCUACAAUGUACGAAAGUAUGAUAGAGCGAGCCAGAGUGAUUCUCUAAUAAUUGAGAAUCUUUUAUGUGAUGUAAAAAGUCACAUGAAUAAGGACUGGGUAAGACAGGUGCCAGCCGCCGCGGUAAUACCUGCGGUCCAAGUCGCAGCCUUUUUUAUUGGGUCUAAAACAUCCGUAGCUUGUUUCGUCAGUCCUUUGUGAAAUCUGGCAUCUUAAGUGUCAGGCGCGCAAGGGAUACUGCGGAGCUAGAGACCGGGAGACGUGAAGAGUACGCAUAGAGUAGCGGUCAAAUGUGUUGAUCCUUUGUGGACUAACGAUAGCGAAGGCACUUCACGAGAACGGAUCUGACAGUGAGGGAUGAAGGCUAGGGGCGCAAAACGGAUUAGAUACCCGCGUAGUC
RNAcentral lists this ribosomal RNA (425 nucleotides) under uncultured archaeon. RNAcentral describes it as "partial 16S ribosomal RNA". It matches the Rfam family "Archaeal small subunit ribosomal RNA", at positions 323 to 746 of the family's 1478-position model. The record is from RNAcentral.